CAGACAGAGGGUGAAAAGAGGUGCUGCAGCACAGCCGUACCUUUCAGAGCUAUUUAAGGAUGCAAGCUAUUUCUACUGUUAAAGUUACAGCAGUUACUCUACGCUGACCGUAACCUGUUUUUGUUUGUGUCGUGUGCUUGGUUGUGAUGAAAUGCUCCAUGAAGUAUAGACAGUAUCAGUAGUGUUAACACACUUGAUUACAGUGGGAAUAAUCUUAACUAAUAAACAAACAGAACAGAACCUAAACAUUUUAUAUUUUCCCGGAUUCCCGGUGUAAUUCCUGCAAUAAAGACAUUUGUAGAACA
Molecule: long non-coding RNA, 305 nt
Organism: Sebastes umbrosus (honeycomb rockfish)
Lineage: Eukaryota; Metazoa; Chordata; Actinopteri; Perciformes; Sebastidae
Exons: 2
Source: RefSeq, a predicted model, not a curated record